This 266-nucleotide ribosomal RNA is filed under the name uncultured bacterium. Its description in RNAcentral is "partial 16S ribosomal RNA". It matches the Rfam family "Bacterial small subunit ribosomal RNA", at positions 57 to 305 of the family's 1533-position model. The record is from RNAcentral.
GCAAGUCGAACGAGAACGGGAUUGCUUGCAAUCCUUAGUAGAGUGGCGCACGGGUGAGUAACACGUAGAUAAUCUACCUUCAAGCCUGGAAUAACUAUUCGAAAGGAUAGCUAAUACCGGAUAAAGUUAAAAUGCCUAAGUAUUUUAAUGAAAGAUUGCCUCUUCUUGAAAGCAAUUGUUUGGAGAUGAGUCUGCGGACCAUUAGCUUGUUGGUGGGGUAAAAGCCUACCAAGGCUGCGAUGGUUAGCUGGUCUGAGAGGAUGAUC